Lagopus leucura (white-tailed ptarmigan) is the source of this 344-nucleotide long non-coding RNA. RefSeq lists it as uncharacterized. The record is from RefSeq and is a predicted model, not a curated record. Lineage: Eukaryota; Metazoa; Chordata; Aves; Galliformes; Phasianidae. The transcript has 3 exons.
AUUACUUUCAGAGCAACCCAGUUCUUGGUCUAAAGAGGCUGCACUGAAACACUGCUGUCCUACUGCUGUAUACCUGGCUCACCCUGAGUUGGCCGAUGUCUCCAAGAAUGAGAGUGCUUGGGUCUUGCAUUAGCACUGGAACGGCUGCAUGGUCCAUCCUCCUCUGAGCAGUGCCCCUGAGACCCCAUAGGAGUGUAUCGAGGGCAUCUUUUUGGUAGAUCUGUGGGGAAUACACCACAGGAAUGUCCUACUGCUCAUGCUUGCUCUCUGCAUGCAAGGCUCAGGUGGAGACUGUAACUUCCUGCCGGGAAGGCCCAGGGCAGGCUUAUGGCAGCAAACUUCUG